RNAcentral lists this ribosomal RNA (492 nucleotides) under uncultured bacterium. RNAcentral describes it as "partial 16S ribosomal RNA". It matches the Rfam family "Bacterial small subunit ribosomal RNA", at positions 29 to 507 of the family's 1533-position model. The record is from RNAcentral.
AGUGAACGCUGGCGGUAGGCCUAACACAUGCAAGUCGAACGGCAGCACAGUAAGAGCUUGCUCUUACGGGUGGCGAGUGGCGGACGGGUGAGGAAUACAUCGGAAUCUACUUUUUCGUGGGGGAUAACGUAGGGAAACUUACGCUAAUACCGCAUACGACCUACGGGUGAAAGCAGGGGAUCUUCGGACCUUGCGCGAUUGAAUGAGCCGAUGUCGGAUUAGCUAGUUGGCGGGGUAAAGGCCCACCAAGGCGGCGAUGCGUAGCUGGUCUGAGAGGAUGAUCGGCCACACUGGAACUGAGACACGGUCCAGACUCCUACGGGAGGCAGCAGUGGGGAAUAUUGGACAAUGGGCGCAAGCCUGAUCCAGCCAUACCGCGUGGGUGAAGAAGGCCUUCGGGUUGUAAAGCCCUUUUGUUGGGAAAGAAAAGCAGCAGGUUAAUACCCCGCUGUUCUGACGGUACCCAAAGAAUAAGCACCGGCUAACUUCGUG